Molecule: ribosomal RNA, 544 nt
Filed under: uncultured bacterium
Lineage: Bacteria
Description: bacterial SSU rRNA
Rfam family: Bacterial small subunit ribosomal RNA
Source: RNAcentral
AAUAGAUACCCCGGUAGUCCAUGCCGUAAACGUUGGGCACUAGGUGUGGGGGACAUUCCACGUUUUCCGCGCCGUAGCUAACGCAUUAAGUGCCCCGCCUGGGGAGUACGGCCGCAAGGCUAAAACUCAAAGGAAUUGACGGGGGCCCGCACAAGCGGCGGAGCAUGCGGAUUAAUUCGAUGCAACGCGAAGAGCCUUACCAAGGCUUGACAUGUUCCAGACCGGGCUAGAGAUAGUCCUUCCCUUCGGGGCUGGUUCACAGGUGGUGCAUGGUUGUCGUCAGCUCGUGUCGUGAGAUGUUGGGUUAAGUCCCGCAACGAGCGCAACCCUCGUUCCAUGUUGCCAGCACGUAGUGGUGGGGACUCAUGGGAGACUGCCGGGGUCAACUCGGAGGAAGGUGGGGAUGACGUCAAAUCAUCAUGCCCCUUAUGUCUUGGGCUUCACGCAUGCUACAAUGGCCGGUACAAUGGGUUGCGAUACUGUGAGGUGGAGCUAAUCCCUAAAAGCCGGUCUCAGUUCGGAUUGGGGUCUGCAACUCGACCCC